RNAcentral lists this ribosomal RNA (18 nucleotides) under Gymnopilus aeruginosus. Its description in RNAcentral is "partial 28S ribosomal RNA". Lineage: Eukaryota; Fungi; Basidiomycota; Agaricomycetes; Agaricales; Galerinaceae. The record is from RNAcentral.
AUGUGCUGCUUCUAAUCG